GACGAACGCUGGCGGCGUGCUUAACACAUGCAAGUCGAACGCUGAAGCUUGGUGCUUGCCCUGGGUGGAUGAGUGGCGAACGGGUGAGUAAUACGUGAGUAACCUGCCCUUGACUCUGGGAUAAGCCUGGGAAACUGGGUCUAAUACUGGAUAUGACAUGCCACUGCAUGGUGGUGUGUGGAAAGGGUUUUACUGGUUUUGGAUGGGCCCACGGCCUAUCAGCUUGUUGGUGAGGUAAUGGCCUACCAAGGCGACGACGGGUAGCCGGCCUGAGAGGGUGACCGGCCACACUGGGACUGAGACACGGCCCAGACUCCUACGGGAGGCAGCAGUGGGGAAUAUUGCACAAUGGGCGGAAGCCUGAUGCAGCGACGCCGCGUGAGGGAUGACGGCCUUCGGGUUGUAAACCUCUUUCAGCACGGAAGAAGCGAGAGUGACGGUACGUGCAGAAGAAGCGCCGGCUAACUACGUG
This 472-nucleotide ribosomal RNA is filed under the name uncultured bacterium. Its description in RNAcentral is "partial 16S ribosomal RNA". It matches the Rfam family "Bacterial small subunit ribosomal RNA", at positions 28 to 507 of the family's 1533-position model. The record is from RNAcentral.